UGAAAGCGUGGCCUAUUGAUCCUUUAGACUUUUAGAAUUUGAAGCUAGAGUUGUCAGAAAAUUUAUCACAGGAAUAACUGGCUUGUGGCAGCCAAGCGUUCAUAGCAACGUUGCUUUUUUAUCCUUCGAUGUUGGCUCUUCCUAUCAUUUUGAAGCAAAAUUCACCAAGUGUUGGAUUGUUCACCCACCAAUAGGGAACGUGAGCUGGGUUUAGACCAUCGUGAGACAGGUUAUUUUUACCCUACUAAUGAACUGUGCCACAAUAUUAAUUCAACUUAGUACGAGAGGAACCAUUUAUUCACACAAUUGGUCAUCGUUCUUGGUUGAAAAGCCAAUGGCACGAAGCUAUUGUGUGUCGGAUUAUGACUGAAUGCCUCUAAGUCAGAAUCCACGCUAGAAGUGGCACUUGUCACUCCUCGACUGUAUCUUGACCCACAGUAGGGGUGUCUCUUUGGUACCCCAGGGGCCCGUGUCACUUUCAAACAUCGACCGGGAAGCGUCUCGGUCGGGGUAGCUUUGAACUUUAAUUUAAAAUGGUCAUUGAGAAGAAUCCUUUGCAGAUGACUUAAAUAUGCGAUGGGGUAUUGUAAGUGGGAGAGUGGCCUUGCUUCCACGAUCCACUGAGAUUCAUCCCUUCGUUUCCUUGAUUCAG
This is a non-coding RNA of Picea glauca (white spruce), 652 nucleotides long. The record is from Rfam. Lineage: Eukaryota; Viridiplantae; Streptophyta; Pinopsida; Pinales; Pinaceae.